AAAAAAAAAAAAAAAAAGAGAUGGGCCUAAUAUCCAGAAUUAGACAAGACGAUUAGAAGACAUAUACGAUAUAUAAAAUCCUUUAAUAUGUCAUGUGACAUCUGAUAGGCAAGAGUGGUUAAAGUUAGGUUAUGUUCGGGUCCUGGAGGAACCAGAAUCGUUCGUUUUUUUUUUAGUCAAAAUUAGAAUCGAAGUGAUUGAAAAUUUAACAAAAUCUCAAUUCUCAAUUUGGCUUAAGUUCUGAUUUUGAUUCGAAUCUCGAUUCUUAGUAUUGAAGUGUUGAGGUAAGCAUGAAAUAUAAGAUGCAGGAACAGAUUGUUUUGAAGCAAGAACUACAGGAUGCAGAUAUCUAUAAUAAUAAGAAACAAUAACUAACUUAUCAGAGCUUUAGGUGAUGCUCUCUUCAAUCUACUUGCUUCUUCCUCCAUUCCAACCUGGCUGUUGACACACUUGAUAAUUUGGGAU
This 465-nucleotide unclassified non-coding RNA is filed under the name Hevea brasiliensis (rubber tree). Lineage: Eukaryota; Viridiplantae; Streptophyta; Magnoliopsida; Malpighiales; Euphorbiaceae. The record is from RNAcentral.